GCGUAACGCGUGGGAAUCUGCCCAACAGUACAGAAUAACCAAGGGAAACUUUGGCUAAUACCGCAUACGCCCUUCGGGGGAAAGAUUUAUCGCUGAUGGAUGGGCCCGCGUCGGAUUAGCUAGUUGGUGGGGUAACGGCCUACCAAGGCUACGAUCCGUAGCUGGUCUGAGAGGACGACCAGCCACACUGGGACUGAGACACGGCCCAGACUCCUACGGGAGGCAGCAGUGGGGAAUAUUGGACAAUGGGGGAAACCCUGAUCCAGCAAUGCCGCGUGAGUGAUGAAGGCCUUAGGGUUGUAA
This 303-nucleotide ribosomal RNA is filed under the name uncultured Rhodospirillales bacterium. RNAcentral describes it as "bacterial SSU rRNA". It matches the Rfam family "Bacterial small subunit ribosomal RNA", at positions 108 to 428 of the family's 1533-position model. The record is from RNAcentral. Lineage: Bacteria; Pseudomonadati; Pseudomonadota; Alphaproteobacteria; Rhodospirillales.